RNAcentral lists this non-coding RNA (25 nucleotides) under Cricetulus griseus (Chinese hamster). Lineage: Eukaryota; Metazoa; Chordata; Mammalia; Rodentia; Cricetidae. The record is from RNAcentral.
AAGUAUUACAUGCUUAUAUGCUAGG